AUGAACGCUGGCGGCGUGCCUCAUACAUGCAAGUCGAGCGCACGGACGAGAAGCUUGCUUCUCUGAUGUUAGCGGCGGACGGGUGAGUAACACGUGGAUAACCUACCUAUAAGGCUGGGAUAACUUCGGGAAACCGGAGCUAAUACCGGAUAAUAUUUUGAACCGCAUGGUUCAAAAGUGAAAGACGGUCUUGCUGUCACUUAUAGAUGGAUCCGCGCUGCAUUAGCUAGUUGGUAAGGUAACGGCUUACCAAGGCAACGAUGCAUAGCCGACCUGAGAGGGUGAUCGGCCACACUGGAACUGAGACACGGUCCAGACUCCUACGGGAGGCAGCAGUAGGGAAUCUUCCGCAAUGGGCGAAAGCCUGACGGAGCAACGCCGCGUGAGUGAUGAAGGUCUUCGGAUCGUAAAACUCUGUUAUUAGGGAAGAACAUAUGUGUAAGUAACUGUGCACAUCUUGACGGUACCUAAUCAGAAAGCCACGGCUAACUACGUG
Molecule: ribosomal RNA, 496 nt
Filed under: uncultured bacterium
Lineage: Bacteria
Description: partial 16S ribosomal RNA
Rfam family: Bacterial small subunit ribosomal RNA
Source: RNAcentral